UGGAAACCAGCCUCACCAGGGAAAUAAGGGAUGUCUUCCUGAAGGAGGUGAUGUUUGAGCCAUGAUAUGAAAUAAUGGAAGUUUCCAGGCAAAAGGGAUCAGGAUAGUCCUCCAUGCAAGGGGGCCAGGAGAGGGUCUGAGAGGUCUUCUUGGAGGAAGGGGCUACAAAGCAGACACCUGAAGACCAACGAGGGGCCAAUCGGAUGAAGACAAGGCUCCCCGAGACAGUGUUUCAGGGAAAGGGACAACCACACGCAUCCAGAGAUCUCAGAGGAUCCAGCCAACCAGCAACAGAAUGUGGUGGUGGCUGAUAUCUGUCCUGAUGUAUGGUGAUUGUGAUACAGACUCUUCAUCCAGGACUAAACACAAAGCAACGCUUGAACUCAUAACUCUGAGAUCAAGACCCCAGCUGAUGGGGCACCUGAAUGGCUCAGUAUUAUCUUUUCACUUUCUUGAUGGUGUUUUGGCACAUGAAAGUUUUUAAUUUCAAGUGUCACUGG
Long non-coding RNA from Lutra lutra (Eurasian river otter), 500 nucleotides. RefSeq lists it as uncharacterized. NCBI's taxonomy places the organism in Eukaryota, Metazoa, Chordata, Mammalia, Carnivora, Mustelidae. The transcript has 3 exons. The record is from RefSeq and is a predicted model, not a curated record.